This 259-nucleotide ribosomal RNA is filed under the name uncultured bacterium. RNAcentral describes it as "partial 16S ribosomal RNA". It matches the Rfam family "Bacterial small subunit ribosomal RNA", at positions 793 to 1055 of the family's 1533-position model. The record is from RNAcentral.
GUCCAUGCCGUAAACGAUGUCUACUAGCCGUUGGGCCUUUGAGGCUUUAGUGGCGCAGCUAACGCGAUAAGUAGACCGCCUGGGAGUACGGUCGCAAGACUAAACUCAAAUGAAUUGACGGGGCCCGCACAAGCGGUGGAGCAUGUGGUUUAAUUCGAUGCAACGCGAAGAACCUUACCUGGCCUUGACAUAGUAGAAACUUUCCAGAGAUGGAUUGGUGCCUUCGGGAAUCUACAUACAGGUGCUGCAUGGCUGUCGU